AUACAUAUAUAUAUACAUACAUACAUACAUACAUACAUACAUACAUACAUACAUACAUACAUACAUACAUAUACAUACAUACAUACAUACAUACAUAUAUGUAUGUAUGUAUGUAUUCUAUUGGGCAUUAUGCUUUUGGACAGCAAAAGAUUGAUGAUUUAUUGUUAUUUUUUGGGUAGCUUUACUCUGAUAAUGCAUUGCUAAAGUGCUGAUGGUUAGUUUGCAUGCAGCCGCAAACAACCAUAUCAAAGAGAGCGAUAUAAUGUUACUGACGAGUGUUAUAGAAAGGUAGCCUGGCAUAUUCUACAUUAGUAGGUCUUGUGAGUUGCUUUUUCUUGUUCAAUGAAAAGAAAUCUUACGACAUAUACUACCUCUAUUUUUUUAUUUGAAGUUGAUUAAUUCAAAAUAAAACUAAAUCAGAAAAAAGCCACGAGGAAAUUAGCCAUGCAACUACAUACAUGGUAAAUCAAAUCGGUCCGCUAACGAAGAUUUAAUUUAGGAGUUGGAGCUCUAUAAAACAUGCCGUAAGGCUUUGAGCUACUUGGCAAGUUAUUCAGUGCAUAUAAAGCAUUAUGUACUGGCUAUUGCUACCAUAUAUCAUGUGUGACAGGUGGGACCAAAUAUUAUUUAUAUCUUAUAUAUUUAUAGUUAACUAUUGUAUGUUUCAAUUGACUAUAAAUGAUUUGGAGCUAGGUAGCUAUACUAUUCAACUUGCUCUUAGUAGAGAUUAAUGUUGAAAAAUUAAAGACUUUGGCCCUUUAUUAAAUGAGGUAUUGGAUAGUAAUAAAAGGACAAUUGGGGUAAGAUAGAGAAAAAAAAUAGUACUUCCUCCGUCCCACAAUACUUGUCUUUCUAGCAUUCAAAAGUUGUCGCAAAAUAGUUAUCACUUGGAAGUACUACUUAUCACAUCAACCACUUUCAAUUCAAAUAUCUUCUCAUUCUACCCUCAACCACCAUCUCACAUACAACUAUACAUUAUUAUCUCCGUUUCAGGUUAUAAGACUUUCUAUCAUUGCCCAUAUUCAUAUAGAUGUUAAUGAAUCUAGGCAUCAUACAUAUCUAGAUUCAUUAAUAUAUAUAUAUGAACGUGGGCAAUGCUAGAAAGUCUUAUAAUAUGAAAUAGAUAAAGUAUUUAUUAAGAGAUAUUAUAGUUUUUUUCUCUUAACCUUAGUACAUGCUAAACAACCUAAAAUGACAUGUAUUAUAAGACGGAGGCAGGAUUACUACUCCAUAAGUAAAGUGAUUGAUGGGACAAUCAGUAUUAUAAAAUAUUUAUAUUUGUAGAUAAAUUUUAAAUGUUUUAAGUACUUAUAUUUAUAUUUUAUAUUUAUAUUUGUGGAUAGAGGUAGUACCUGAUUUGCACAUGUCUGGUUCCCUGUAUAGUUUGCUCGGGCCUCGGGAAGACAUGCUGAGUGCCUAAGAACAGGACAUUGCUCCUUUGCAGCUGAUGCACAUUGCACAGCUAGGCGCGGCCGCGCGGAUACCGUUCUGCCCUGCACCACUAGGCCGGCCGGCAACAUGUUCUUCGUUUCUGUGAUCGUCGGGACUCGAGAAUUGGAUUCUCCCUCACAUUAGGCGGACGAACAAGCCAUCCCGUCCAUCCAAAUCGCUGGAUGCGACGCUGCUUGACCUUCUCGUCAUCAUUCAUCAGUGGGCUGUCUAAAGCGGUUUUCUUCGUGGAGGGCUUUCCCGGUGCUGGCUGCCUUUACCU
This is a non-coding RNA of Oryza sativa Japonica Group (Japanese rice), 1711 nucleotides long. Lineage: Eukaryota; Viridiplantae; Streptophyta; Magnoliopsida; Poales; Poaceae. The record is from RefSeq and is a predicted model, not a curated record.